This 485-nucleotide ribosomal RNA is filed under the name uncultured bacterium. RNAcentral describes it as "bacterial SSU rRNA". It matches the Rfam family "Bacterial small subunit ribosomal RNA", at positions 32 to 493 of the family's 1533-position model. The record is from RNAcentral.
AAUCAACGCUGGCGGCGUGCCUAACACAUGCAAGUCGAACGCGAAAGCCCCUUCGGGGGCAAGUAGAGUGGCGUCCGGGUGAGUAACACGUGGGUAAUCUACCUCCGGGUGGGGAAUAACUCGCCGAAAGGCGGGCUAAUACCGCAUAAUGCAGCGGCACCGAAUGGUGAUUAGUUGUUAAAGCGGGGGACCUUAGGGCCUCGCGUCUGGAGAGGAGCCUGCGGCAGAUUAGCUUGUUGGAGGGUAAUGGCCUACCAAGGCUGCGAUCUGUAGCUGGUCUGAGAGGACGGCCAGCCACACUGGCACUGACACACGGGCCAGACUCCUACGGGAGGCAGCAGUGGGGAAUUUUGGGCAAUGGGCGAAAGCCUGACCCAGCAACGCCGCGUGAAGGAGGAAAUCCUUCGGGAUGUAAACUUCACAAGCAAGGGAAGAGCGCGCAGGGUCGAAUAAACUCUGUGUCCGACGGUACCUUGCGUAAGCCA